Molecule: ribosomal RNA, 396 nt
Filed under: Triticum aestivum (bread wheat)
Lineage: Eukaryota; Viridiplantae; Streptophyta; Magnoliopsida; Poales; Poaceae
Description: partial small subunit ribosomal RNA
Source: RNAcentral
AUGUGCUUGGAGUUCGGCUCGUGCUUCGGCGGCCGCAGGCGGGACGACUACGGCGGCCGCGCCCGCAGCAGAGGGGGCGGCUACUGGUCAGCGCCGGUGCCGGCACCGGUGUACCAACAGGAACAGCCGCCCGCCGUCGCCCACGAGGCCUACCACGAAGGCGCGCCGAAAGCCGACCACACCGACGCUGCCGGCAGCCACGCCGCCUACUUGCAAGACAAGGCUGGCAGCGAGACGCCGCCGAGGCACCCCGCAUGGCACAACAAGGUCGCCGACGACGCCUACACGCCGCGCCCCCACGAAGCUGCUGCCCCAGAUCACAGUCACAGGGACAACGCCCCUAUGGAUUACUACCACCACCACCACCCUCGUCAGGUACUAGCUACUAGUCGUUAG